GACGAACGCUGGCGGCGUGCUUAACACAUGCAAGUCGAACGCUGAAGCUUGGUGCUUGCACUGGGUGGAUGAGUGGCGAACGGGUGAGUAAUACGUGAGUAAUCUGCCCUUGACUCUGGGAUAAGCCUGGGAAACUGGGUCUAAUACUGGAUACGACAUGUCACCGCAUGGUGGUGUGUGGAAAGGGUUUUACUGGUUUUGGAUGGGCUCACGGCCUAUCAGCUUGUUGGUGGGGUAAUGGCUCACCAAGGCGACGACGGGUAGCCGGCCUGAGAGGGUGACCGGCCACACUGGGACUGAGACACGGCCCAGACUCCUACGGGAGGCAGCAGUGGGGAAUAUUGCACAAUGGGCGGAAGCCUGAUGCAGCGACGCCGCGUGAGGGAUGACGGCCUUCGGGUUGUAAACCUCUUUCAGCACGGAAGAAGCGAAAGUGACGGUACGUGCAGAAGAAGCGCCGGCUAACUACGUG
RNAcentral lists this ribosomal RNA (472 nucleotides) under uncultured bacterium. RNAcentral's name for it is "partial 16S ribosomal RNA". It matches the Rfam family "Bacterial small subunit ribosomal RNA", at positions 28 to 507 of the family's 1533-position model. The record is from RNAcentral.